CCGGGUUCGGGUUCGCAUCGUCGGGAUGAGCCCCCGCGGAACGGCCGCGGUGCCCUUUGAGGAUCCCGGCCCGGCGGCUCAGGACGCGGCGCUCGGCCCCUCCAGCGCAGGCCGGGCGGGCGGCUGCCUCCUGCCCGCAGGAGGCUGCGUGUCAGCUGGCGCUCGGUGCGUCAGAGCUGCCGGCGUGGGAACAAGGUUUCCCCCAGGUCUGUUCUUGUUGGCAUUUGCUCAGAUGUACACUUCUAUUUACAACUCACAGGUGCGCGGGAGACUCAGAACUCAGCUCACUUCAGAAUACUGCAGGAAGCGAGGGCAGAAGGAAUGGGCAGCAAAACCGUGCGCUCUGUGCUUGCAAAUCAGCCUGCCUCCUGACUGUAGCCUUUGCAUAAAGCAGAGCCAAACGUCAUCCCAGCGGCUUGGGCUGCGUGGAAUUCGUAAUGUGACUGUAAUAGCAACCUACUUCUGCUUACUCACGUUCUCAUUGCUUUUCAUGUGAUAAUAAUAUCAUCUUACAGAUUGGCACAGGAGGAUUAAAGGCUACAGAUCUAUUGUCUUUCACUAAAAUACUAUUUUUAGUUUCUAAUUACUGAUUAGGAACAUCGGUGUGCAAUCUUUCCCCUCCAGUCGCUGCUCUAUAUUCAUCGUGCUGCAGCACGCUGCUUUUGCCAUCAGAUAACCUGGCCGUAGCGUGGGCUCGAGGAAGCGAAGCCAGCACCUGCUUGCUCCUGGUUUUAUCCCCAGUAGCUGCACUUUGUGCUCUUCUCUCAUUUCCAAUUUUAGAAACUCUGCUAAAACCAUUAGUUCGAUAUACCAAGUACAGCUCCUAACAGUUCUUUCCUCUCUCCACAUACAGUUUAUGGUUUCUUAGGAGCAGGUUCUGGUUGCUGAGGUGAAGAGUUACCCCAUGGAAGUCAGGGAGGAAACGGUUCCGCUUGGAAUCCAGCGUAGGUUGCCUUAUUUGUAUUGAGUCAAACGCCCUUCCCUGCUCACAAGUUUCUCAGCGUGCAGCACACACGUUAUCCGUCCUCCGGUCCUUUGAGGAUGUGGAAGAGUUGAUGCUGAAGCCAACAAUAGCUCAGUCUGUGCAUCGCUGGCAGGAUGUGGCCAGGAAGGUUCCAGAACUGACUCUUCAGCGAGGCCUUGCGCUGAGCAUACAGGAGAGCUGGCCUUGGGAAAUGUAUCUCAUCCUGUUUGGAGUCACGCAGAACUAUUGCCAGAUCUCCUAAUAUAAAAUAUUUCACGUCA
Long non-coding RNA from Numida meleagris (helmeted guineafowl), 1245 nucleotides. RefSeq lists it as uncharacterized. The record is from RefSeq and is a predicted model, not a curated record. Lineage: Eukaryota; Metazoa; Chordata; Aves; Galliformes; Numididae. The transcript has 2 exons.